GACCAACUUAUCGAUUACUUUUGCCUUGUCUUAAUGAGCAUGUCAGAUGAAUUCCAGGUGGAAAUUUUGUUUUCGUUUAAUGCUAGUGAAAACAUGUGAAGAUAAUUGUUUUAUUAUAUUAAACUUACCCACCGAUCAUAUUAUGUUUUUAUAUUCGAACUAUAAGCGUUGACUGCCCAAAGAUAGCUCAUUGAUUACUUUUUUCUUCGAGCUUUUUUUGUUCUUGCAUUUUCCAUGUAAUUGGAAUUUAUUUUUUAGGGAAAUGGAAGCCGAAGAAAGUAAGGAAAUAAAUAAGGAUCCUAAGAAAUCUCAUGAGGAAGAAUUGUUAGAACUGGCCAAGAAGGAACUCCUUAGAGAAAUAAAAUGUGCAUCUUUAAGAGCUGAGCAGUUUGGUGCUCACAGUUGGGCAAAACCUCAACAUUAUGUACCAAGUAAAAGAUUCUUAAAACAUAUGUUAGUCAGUGCUUCCAAGGACAAUGACCGCAGAGAACAACAUACAUUAGAACGAAGAGAAAAAGCAAUAAAGCAUAACACAAACUCCUUUCGUAGAUAUUCAUCAUAUUCCAAAGAUGAAAGGAAAAAGAAACAUUCUCAUGUGGAAAAUGAAGUUGAGAACUAUAAAAGAAAAAAGCAUAAACAUAAAGAAAAAAAGCCAUCAAAGGAUAAGAAAAAAGACAAAGGGAAGUCUUAUUCCAAAUCUGUAAAACGGAAACUAUCUAAUGAAAGAUAAUUUCAUUGUAAAUUUUGUAUUAAAAUGUAUAAUAAACAAUCAAAAAACA
Long non-coding RNA from Argiope bruennichi, 779 nucleotides. RefSeq lists it as uncharacterized. The transcript has 2 exons. Lineage: Eukaryota; Metazoa; Arthropoda; Arachnida; Araneae; Araneidae. The record is from RefSeq and is a predicted model, not a curated record.